GAUGAACGCUGGCGGCGUGCUUAACACAUGCAAGUCGAACGGAAAGGCCUCUGCUUGCAGGGGUACUCGAGUGGCGAACGGGUGAGUAACACGUGGGUGAUCUGCCCUGCACUUCGGGAUAAGCCUGGGAAACUGGGUCUAAUACCGGAUAGGACAAUGGUUUGGAUGCCGUUGUGGAAAGUUUUUCGGUGUGGGAUGAGCUCGCGGCCUAUCAGCUUGUUGGUGGGGUAAUGGCCUACCAAGGCGUCGACGGGUAGCCGGCCUGAGAGGGUGUACGGCCACAUUGGGACUGAGAUACGGCCCAGACUCCUACGGGAGGCAGCAGUGGGGAAUAUUGCACAAUGGGCGCAAGCCUGAUGCAGCAACGCCGCGUGCGGGAUGACGGCCUUCGGGUUGUAAACCGCUUUCGCCUGUGACGAAGCGUGAGUGACGGUAAUGGGUAAAGAAGCACCGGCUAACUACGUG
Molecule: ribosomal RNA, 465 nt
Filed under: uncultured bacterium
Lineage: Bacteria
Description: partial 16S ribosomal RNA
Rfam family: Bacterial small subunit ribosomal RNA
Source: RNAcentral